Molecule: non-coding RNA, 97 nt
Organism: Clavulina sp. PMI_390
Lineage: Eukaryota; Fungi; Basidiomycota; Agaricomycetes; Cantharellales; Hydnaceae
Source: the annotation of a GenBank genome assembly
GGUGAGGUGGCCGAGUUGGUCUAAGGCGUGAGAUUAAGGAGCUUGUCUUCAUCUUCUCAUCUAUUCGUAGGCGCGAGUUCGAAUCUCGUCCUCAUCA